Lagopus leucura (white-tailed ptarmigan) is the source of this 1973-nucleotide long non-coding RNA. RefSeq lists it as uncharacterized. The transcript is spliced from 6 exons. The record is from RefSeq and is a predicted model, not a curated record. Lineage: Eukaryota; Metazoa; Chordata; Aves; Galliformes; Phasianidae.
AGCACGUAAUGCUGAUGACGGGCCGGAGGCAGUGAGUUACGUGCUGUCCUGACCUGAAAAGCUGGAUUGGCAACGACACCUGAUGUCCCAGCAGAGGGCUGCUGCCGUGCCAUCUGUGCAGGAGAAUUGAACAAAUUGCGAUGAUGGAAACUGAAAAGCAUUUAGACACCUUCAUUUCAGGUGCAUUCCUUCUCUCCAGUAUUGAAAUCUGUGAUGAGUUGCAGUUGGUAAAAUGAAAAUGUCUUAAAUUCAGGAAAUGUUGAAACAGUUGAAAACACUCAGCAUGGAAUCCAGGCAACAAUAACACUGAUGUCAGCCUGCUGCCUAAGAUUCACAGGGGUUCCCAAGAGGAAAUAUGUCACUAGAUGCUUGCCAGCCACCGUUCUCUCCUUCCCCCAGGUUUGCCGGAUGACCAUCCUGGCAUCGAUGUCUUGACAUGAGGAUGCCACAAGUAGUACAAGGAAAGCAUAGAAUCAUGGGAUCACCAAGAUUGGAGAAGACCUCCAAGAUCAUCCACUCCAACCACCCACCUACCAUCAACAUUUCCCCACUAAGCAUGUUACCUAGCAUGCCUUUGACCCAUCAGCAGUGACACGCAUGCCAGAUCCAGAAGUCGCUCCUGAUCUUGCUGCUGGAGGGGCUAUGAGCGGUAUGUUUGACAUUGGGCCAGCUGCUUGGAAAAAGAAGACAAAGCAGUGGGUCAGGUUACUGGGACAUUUCUCUUUUUGCAGACUGUAAGUGACUCACUAAGGCAUAUUGACAUGAAAAGGGAGUGGUCUGCACUUCUCUGUCUUUUAGAGGAAGGAGACCCGAAGAAUAACAGCUCAUUCAUCUUUGUAACAUAUCAAUGUGCUGCAUACAUGGUUGCAAGCCUAGUACAAAUUGUAAGAGAGAGAAAAAUAAUGAAAGUAAAGCCAAACAGAUCACAGUGCCAAAAAGAAUUACAUGCCUCCAUAAAUGAACUGAGAAAAUUCCAAUGGUUGAGUAACUAAGUACAUGACCAAAUGGCUCACCAGCUCCUCUUUCAGAGAACUAGAGUGAGAGAAUUUUUACUGGGAGGAAAGCAUUCCAUUCCUCUUCUCCCACUUUAUAACAGCAAAUUUUAUAAUUUUAUUUGGUUUCCCAUAAAACAAAAAAACAAAAAAACAAAAAUAAAAAAAAAAAGAAAACAAAUGGAGCUGGGAAGCCUCAGAGUUGUAGAUUUCAUGAAAAUCUGAUCUCUGUCUUCUGACCAGGAAUGUUCUGCCUGGACUCCCCAAGCCACACCAGUGCUUUCCUCUCAAAUGCAGACAGAGGCCUCCAACUUCUUUCCUUUUUACUCAAUGAAUAGGUUAUGUGUUAAAGACUUAAAUGCAUUUUAACAUUCAGACAGUAAGUUCAACUCUACUUAUCAAUAGGAAUGAUCCCAGUAAUUUUGAUAAGUACCCACAAAAACAAGAUGAGUAGAAUUGGAGUCCUAAUUUGCUGAAAUUCCUUCCACAGUGAAAUGUAUGUUUUUUUAAAGAUUCAAUAAGCAUUUUUGAAAAUACCUACCAAAUUCAUGUUUCUUCUGAUAUUUGCAUUUAAAUUAUCUUUACAUUGAAUACUUCUCAGAUCUGUAUUUUUUCAACUAUGCAUAGCAUACAGUAGUCUUACGAUCAUCUCAGUAACUGUUUUAAAUAAAUAUACAUGUAAGUUUGCAUGAGAGUUUAGCUAUAAUAAAAAAACAUGCACAUAUAAACACAUUUCUACAUAUGAUGUUCUAAGAACAAGGAAACAACCCAUCUUGUUCAAAAUGGGUUAGCUCCUGUUACCAGCUUUCAUGAUGCUGCUCAAGGAUCUGCCAUUGCUCCGUAGCAAGACUCCCAGCAUAUGUACAUCCAGAAGCCCUUCACACAAGCCAUUCCCUUAAUGGACGCCCAUUGAAAUUUCUUCAGAAAUACUCCAACCCCUCUGCUAAAGCAGGUUCCCGACAGCAAGUCACUCAGGAAAGC